RNA transcript from Carya illinoinensis, 1334 nucleotides. It is a transcript of the gene named beta-carotene isomerase D27, chloroplastic, with no coding region annotated. Lineage: Eukaryota; Viridiplantae; Streptophyta; Magnoliopsida; Fagales; Juglandaceae. The record is from RefSeq and is a predicted model, not a curated record. The transcript has 6 exons.
UAAUCUUUCCCAUGGAAACAACGGAAACUCAACCAACCACAUGCUGGUUACCCUUUCUGGGGCUGUCCUUUACUGUUCUUGCUGGAACACCCAGAAGCUACAUACAAUUUUGAGGUUAAUGAGAGUGGUCUAUCUUCUUGCUUCAAUGUGGUCUUUAUACUUAAACUCUGUUGAGAGAGCCUAGACUCGUACUCCCAUUUAUUUGGAGAAAACCAAUACAGGAAAAAUCCAUGGUGGUCCUAAGCUUCCAAGCUGUCCAGUUCAUGCCUCCUCAACAUCUUCCAUUGCAUAGACCAAGCACCGGAAAUGUCAUGGUCAUCCGGUGUGGGAUUGCAGAGCCAUCGGGAGAGCCGGCUCCUUUAGGACAAAAAACACGGUACAAUGAUGGCUUCUUUGAUAGGGCAUUCAUGACACUCUUUGCUCGGAAGAUGGAGAAGUUUGCAGCUUCGGCUAAAGCCGGGACAGAGACGAAGAAGAAAGGGUGGUGGAAUCUUGACUACGAGAGCUUUGUGGAUGUGUCUAAGAGAGUAAUGCAGGGAAGGUCUCGUAUGCAGCAGCAGCAAGUUGUUCGUGAGGUGCUCUUGUCUAUGCUCCCUCCAGGUGCGCCUGCUCAGUUCAGAAAACUAUUUCCUCCAACGAAGUGGGCUGCAGAAUUCAAUGCUGCAUUGACAGUGCCCUUCUUCGACUGGUUAGUUGGGCCUUCUGAGGUUAUAGAAGUUGAGGUAAAUGGGGUGAAGCAGAGGAGUGGAGUUCAUAUAAAGAAGUGCAGGUAUUUGGAGAACAGUGGGUGUGUAGGAAUGUGUGUGAAUAUGUGCAAGAUUCCUACUCAAGACUUCUUCACCAAUGAAUUUGGGCUUCCUUUAACCAUGAUUCCAAUCUGCAGAUUCGUAAUGGAUCAUCUUCUCUGUGUUCAUCCUCAGAUUUUGAAGACAUGAGUUGCGAUAUGGUGUAUGGCCAAGUUCCGCCCCCUUUUGAAGAAGAUCCAGUGUCCAAACAACCUUGUUUUUCAGAUAUUUGCUCCAUGGCAAAUCCCAACUCCGAUGUUUGUCAUAAACUACAGGCUUAGACAGAUACUUCUCCCUCUCCUCCCUUUGUUCCUCAUUUUGGAGCAUUAGAGAGAAACAAUGGGGUAAACCUGUGGCAGACUGUACAUAUAUCAGAUACUCGCUUUCUGUUCAAGAAACAAGACAUGAGACACGUAUUGAACCUGAAUUCCCUUUAAUAAUUUCUUUCAUACUUGUGCUUUCAUACAUUUGUAAACUUUAUCCCCUUGGACGCAAAUUAUAUGUCGAUGCAUUUUCCAAAAUUAGUCCAUAUCAGAUGUUCAUUCUCCA